Non-coding RNA from Myodes glareolus (Bank vole), 3292 nucleotides. NCBI's taxonomy places the organism in Eukaryota, Metazoa, Chordata, Mammalia, Rodentia, Cricetidae. The record is from RefSeq and is a predicted model, not a curated record.
UUCCUAGGAUCUAACUCAGGUUAUUAGCACAGUUUUUGUCACUGAGCAACAACAAUAAUACAAGGUUUUGCUGUGUAGCUCAAGCUCCCUGGUUCCAGGAUUACAGGCAUGUGAUCCCACCCUAGGCCUCCAUUUGCUUCGGAUCUGAGGUUGGUAGGACCCGAAGCUCCCGAGGGCUGACAGCACACCGCCCCAUGCUGCAGCGCUGCCCUGCUCUCCCCAGUAGUAACAGCCAUGUUUCCCUUGCAGGUUAACUGUCGGGAGCGAUGGGCGACUGGAGCUUCUUGGGGCGGCUGCUGGAGAAUGCGCAGGAGCACUCCACGGUCAUCGGCAAGGUGUGGCUGACUGUGCUGUUCAUCUUUCGCAUCCUGGUGCUGGGGGCGGCGGCCGAGGAGGUGUGGGGCGACGAGCAGUCGGACUUCACUUGCAACACGCAACAACCGGGGUGCGAGAACGUCUGCUACGACCGCGCUUUUCCCAUCUCGCACAUCCGCUUCUGGGCGCUGCAGAUCAUCUUCGUGUCCACGCCCACGCUCAUCUACCUGGGCCACGUGCUGCACAUCGUGCGCAUGGAGGAGAAGAAGAGAGAGCGGGAGGAAGAGAUGCUGAGGAGAGACAACCCUCAGCAUGGCCGUGGCCGCGAGCCGAUGCGUACAGUGAGUCCGCGGGACCCGCCACUGCGAGAUGACCGUGGCAAGGUGCGCAUUGCGGGCGCGCUGCUGCGGACCUAUGUCUUCAACAUCAUUUUCAAGACGCUCUUCGAAGUGGGCUUCAUCGCGGGCCAGUACUUUCUCUAUGGCUUCCAGCUGCAGCCACUUUACCGCUGUGACUGCUGGCCCUGCCCCAACACGGUAGACUGCUUCAUCUCUAGGCCCACAGAGAAGACCAUCUUCGUCAUCUUCAUGCUGGCUGUGGCCUGUGCGUCACUGGUGCUCAACAUGCUGGAGAUUUACCACCUGGGCUGGAAGAAGCUCAAGCAGGGGGUUACCAACCACUUCAGCCCCGAUGCCUCAGAAGCCACACACAAGCCCUCGGACCCCCUACCUCACACCUCCAGCUCUGGCCCACCCAGCGCCUCCAUUGGGUUCCCACCUUUCUACACACACCCUGCCUGUCCCCCGGUGCAGGCCAGGGCCACGGGGUUUCCUGAGGCUCCACCACCACCAGCAGACUUCACAGUGGUAACCCUGAACGAUGCGCAAGGCAGAGGCCACUCUGUCAAGCACUGCAAUGGCCUCCAUCUAAUCACAGAGCAGAACUGGGCCAACAGAGUGGCAGAGCAGCAGACUUCCGCUAGCAAGGCCUCUUCCGUAGCAUCCAGCCCCGAGGUUCGUAAGGCGCUCACGGACAGCAGUGGCAGCAGCCUGGAAGAGACUGCCUUGGUGGUGACGCCAGAGGAGGGAGAGCAGGCCUUGGCCACCACAGUGGAGAUGCACUCCCCACCCUUGGUCCUCCUGGAUCCAGGAAGGUCCAGCAAGGCCAGCAGUGGGCGGGCCAGACCUGGUGACUUGGCCAUCUAGCCAAAGUUUCCCCAGACAGCUUGAUAGGCCUUCCCUUUCGCCCUUAGAAACCAAAAACCAAAAUGCAUUUCAAAUCACCAGGUAGAAAGAGAGAGAGCCUGACAGCGCUGGCAUCCCCAGAAACACUGAACAAACCCGGUCAGGUGUCUGAUUUAAUGCUUGCUGUUCUUGUCGCUGUGAGGUAUAGUGGGGGUCACACCAGCAAGUCUAAGAUUGAGAGGGGGCGGGGUUGUUGGCUUUUCAAGAUGCUCCCAGCAGCGGUUGCUCCUGGACUCCUCGCAUCGGCAGUUACUAUUCUGCAGCGGUAAAGCAACAGGUGUUUGCAGUCCUUCAGUGGGAGACAAUUGGGUUUCCAUUCCUACGCUCUCCAAACAGCCCAGAGGCACAGAGACACUUAGCUCUAUCUCUGUGUGAUACUUUUAACUUAGAGUUGGAUUUCAUUUGGGAUAUUUGCCAAACUGUACUAAAAAAAGAUUUAGAGGGACUCUAUCUAGUGUCACUUGAGUUUCUGGAAUUGCGUAUGAAGUCCAGGCUGGCCAACUGCAGGCUGCUGCCCUCUAGAGAGGGGUUCUAUGGGACAGGGCCACAGACAUCACUGGUAGAGGCAGGUGGAGAUGCAGAGACGCUGGAGAACCCUUCAGAAGAGGAAAAUGACGACAGUGUGGCAGUUUGUUGCAGGAACCAAGGGGAAGGCAGCCCGAAAGACUUACUAGCUCUCACUCCAAACUGGCCUGUAAUUUUGCACGGAGCCCUCCUGUCGAAGCCUGCUGAUGUGCUGUCUCAUGGGAGUAGUCCUGGAACUGGGGACGCUACGGCAGGACGAUGCCGUGAGUCGAAGAUCAGCCAGUGCUACAAAAUUCCACGACAGUCUGGAAAUGGUUACCCCCCCCCCAGGAAAAAAUUUCUUUUCUUCCUACCUCCUCUGUUCUGGCACUCACAUCCAGGGAAGUAUUUAGUCAACUUCACCGAUUUGUUUUGAAGGACACAACCAGAGAGAAAAAAGAUUCUGCCGGCUAGGUGGGCGAUGUCAUAUACCAUGUCAAUACCAUGGUACAGCUAAAAGAAUAAUCUGAUAUAAUUGGGAAUACGUCUAAAAGGGUUGUCAUUAUCAGCAUGUUUUGAUUACAUCAGCCAUUUUUUUGACAGAGGGAUGGAGUCGGUUCCGUGGACAGCAUGCACGUGCACAUCUGGACUUUCCCUGGGGUCCCUUGCUGCACACCCACUGAUCAGCCACAAGGGCCUCAUUGACUUUUCCAGAGACUAUGGACACCUGCUUGCCAGCCCUGGAUUCAGCAUCCACACUGCCUGUAAAGCCAGGAACACCCUCACUGGGAAAGCGUAGGUGUCUUCCUUUUUAGAAAACAUGUUUCGAAAUAGAAGGGGGCACUCACAGAACUAGUGCUCCCAGAAAACACUACCCAUCCCUACACACACUCAUAACCAGCCCCAGCACACUCAGGUAGCUUGUCACAGCCUCAGAACUUAUGGGCACACAGAUUGAGAGAAGGUCAGAGAUCUCAACCCACUGGGUGCCCCUCGAUCCUCAGCACUACUGUUCACAUCUGGAGUCUCACCUGAACCCGUAAAUCACAGAACAGAAGAUAGAGUAGCUGGCUUUUGGUUUUAGCACAGAUUUCACUCUGAUUACCUGAGGGCCUUCGUCCUUCCCGCUGCCCGCUCCGGUCCAUACUGGCUCCAUGGGUGUUUCUCAGACUUGUUGAUUUGGUUUGUUCUCCUCUGGUCCUAAAUGAAUAAAGAAAAUAUUAAAUGUG